Transfer RNA from Serendipita vermifera MAFF 305830, 91 nucleotides. It matches the Rfam family "tRNA". Rfam says of the family: Transfer RNA (tRNA) molecules are approximately 80 nucleotides in length. Their secondary structure includes four short double-helical elements and three loops (D, anti-codon, and T loops). The record is from Rfam. Lineage: Eukaryota; Fungi; Basidiomycota; Agaricomycetes; Sebacinales; Serendipitaceae.
GACGUCGUGGCGCAGUGGUUACCGCGGUGGCCUGCUAUUUCCUAGUCAGCCAUUUCCUUUAGGUUCGCAGGUUCGAAUCCUGCCGACGUCG